GGAGGAAUCAACCAAAACUCUUAUUGUAUACCCCCUCGCGGGUUUUUUUUAUAAUCUGAGCCUUCUCGGCGCCUCUCGUAGGCGUUUCGAAAAUGAAUCAAAACUUUCAACAACGGAUCUCUUGGUUCUGGCAUCGAUGAAGAACGCAGCGAAAUGCGAUAAGUAAUGUGAAUUGCAGAAUUCAGUGAAUCAUCGAAUCUUUGAACGCACAUUGCGCCCGCCAGUAUUCUGGCGGGCAUGCCUGUCCGAGCGUCAUUUCAACCCUCGAACCCCUCCGGGGGGUCGGCGUUGGGGAUCGGCCUUCCUUCACGGGGGCCGUCUCCGAAAUACAGUGGCGGUCUCGCCGCAGCCUCUCCUGCGCAGUAGUUUGCACACUCGCAUCGGGAGCGCGGCGCGUCCACAGCCGUUAAACACCCAACUUUCUGAAAUGUUGACCUCGGAUCAGGUAGGAAUACCCGCUGAACUUA
RNAcentral lists this ribosomal RNA (467 nucleotides) under uncultured Hypocreaceae. RNAcentral's name for it is "eukaryotic LSU rRNA". The stretch from base 102 to 255 matches the Rfam family "5.8S ribosomal RNA". The record is from RNAcentral. Lineage: Eukaryota; Fungi; Ascomycota; Sordariomycetes; Hypocreales.